UGAAAAGGGUAGCCUGGACCAUGAGA
This 26-nucleotide non-coding RNA is filed under the name Callithrix jacchus (white-tufted-ear marmoset). Lineage: Eukaryota; Metazoa; Chordata; Mammalia; Primates; Cebidae. The record is from RNAcentral. RNAcentral also lists the same sequence under 1 other name.